CUUUAAUGAUGGCACCUUUCAGAGGUGAAUUUCUACCAUGAUCAUACAAAAAUAAUCAUCUGUAGCCAAAAUGAAGAAUACCUUCUCACCUACAUCAAUGAGGAUAGGAUAUCUACAACUUUCAGGCUGACAACUCUGCUGAUGUCUGGCUGUUCAUCAGAAUUAAAAAAUCGAAUGGAAUAUGCCCUGAACAUGCUCUUACAAAGAUGUAACUGAAAGACUUUUCGAAUGGACCCUAUGGGACUCCUCUUUUCCACUGUGAGAUCUACAGGGAAGCCAAUAGAAUGAUCUAGAGCAUGUUGAAGAAGAUGGACAUGUGGUGGUACGAAAACAAUUCCCCUGUGGCCUGCUGGACUGGGUGGAAACAGAACAGUCUAAGGCAUACAGUUCUUGACUUUGGACAAUCCAAGAGUGAACCAGAAUGCAGUUUUCCUUGAGAUACCUGUUUUAAAAGGUUUUUCAGACAAUUUUGCAGAAAGGUGCAUUGAUUCUUAAAUUCUCUCUGUUGAGAGCAUUUCAGCCAGAGGACUUUGGAACUGUGAAUAUACUUCCUGAAGGGGAGGGAGAAGGGAGGAAGCUCCCAUGUUGUUUAAAGGCUGUAAUUGGAGCAGCUUUUGGCUGCGUAACUGUGAACUAUGGCCAUAUAUAAUUUUUUUUUCAUUAAUUUUUGAAGAUACUUGUGGCUGGAAAAGUGCAUUCCUUGUUAAUAAACUUUUUAUUUAUUACAGCCCAAAG
This 735-nucleotide long non-coding RNA is filed under the name Pan troglodytes (chimpanzee). Its description in RNAcentral is "long non-coding RNA NONPTRT013573". The record is from RNAcentral. Lineage: Eukaryota; Metazoa; Chordata; Mammalia; Primates; Hominidae.